CGUUUAGGGGUAAACCUGAGAAACCCGAAAGGUCGAAGGGUGAAAUUCAAAUGCUGCUAGCGAGUGGAGGCUGGUGGUCGAGUGACGGAAGACGUUCGCGUCAACCGCGCCCUCUGCCAGUCGUGCCGGUUGCGAGCGCGUGCACUUUUCACCUGGUAGGACGCCGCGAUUCGUUGGGCGUCGGUCUACGGCAUGUGGUGGAGCCCGAUUGUCCCUAGGACAAGCGGACCCGCAUUUCCUGGCCGACUUGCUCGACGGUAUAUGAACGGUUGGUGGCCGCUCUCGCGAGCGCUCGACCCGUGGCAAGCACGUCAGACCAGUCGGCGACCGGACCUAGUCCGAUUCUGACUACUGGCGACUGUUGGCUGCGGUGUUUUCGGGCAGACCACUUCAUACAUAACCGAUCAGCGACGCUAUAGCUUUGGGUACUUUCAGGACCCGUCUUGAAACACGGACCAAGGAGUCUAGCAUGUGCGCGAGUCAUUGGGAUUCACUAAACCUAAAGGCGCAAUGAAAGUGAAGGUUUGUGCUUGCACAGACCGAGGGAAGAUGGGUGACUCGCCCUUAAAAGCGAUCAUCUAGCAUUCCCGGGGCGUCUCAUUCUCAUUGCGAGAGGAGGCGCACCAUGAGCGUACACGCUGGGACCCGAAAGAUGGUGAACUAUGCCUGGU
Molecule: ribosomal RNA, 671 nt
Filed under: Diplotrichus sp. MiLan17_1
Lineage: Eukaryota; Metazoa; Arthropoda; Insecta; Coleoptera; Curculionidae
Description: Scolytinae gen. 2 BHJ-2020 sp. MiLan17_1 partial large subunit ribosomal RNA
Rfam family: Eukaryotic large subunit ribosomal RNA
Source: RNAcentral